CAGCAGCCGCGGUAAUACGAAGGGUGCAAGCGUUACUCGGAAUUACUGGGCGUAAAGCGUGCGUAGGUGGUGGUUUAAGUCCGUUGUGAAAGCCCUGGGCUCAACCUGGGAAUUGCAGUGGAUACUGGGUCACUAGAGUGUGGUAGAGGAUAGUGGAAUUUCUGGUGUAGCAGUGAAAUGCGUAGAGAUCGGAAGGAACAUCUGUGGCGAAGGCGACUAUCUGGGCCAACACUGACACUGAGGCACGAAAGCGUGGGGAGCAAACAGGAUUAGAUACCCCUGUAGUCCCUGUCUCUUAUAC
RNAcentral lists this ribosomal RNA (301 nucleotides) under uncultured bacterium. Its description in RNAcentral is "partial 16S ribosomal RNA". It matches the Rfam family "Bacterial small subunit ribosomal RNA", at positions 509 to 807 of the family's 1533-position model. The record is from RNAcentral.